This 406-nucleotide unclassified non-coding RNA is filed under the name soil metagenome. RNAcentral describes it as "partial contains 5.8S ribosomal RNA, internal transcribed spacer 2, and large subunit ribosomal RNA". The stretch from base 1 to 121 matches the Rfam family "5.8S ribosomal RNA", at positions 35 to 154 of the family's 154-position model. The record is from RNAcentral.
GAUGAAGAACGUAGCGAAAUGCGAUAAGUAAUGUGAAUUGCAGAAUUCAGUGAAUCAUCGAAUCUUUGAACGCACCUUGCGCCCUUUGGCCAUUCCGAAGGGCAUGCCUGUUUGAGUAUCAUGAACACCUCAACUCUUCAUGGUUUUCCAUGAUGAGCUUGGACUUUGGGGGUCUUGCUGGCCUGUGGGUCGGCUCCUCUCAAAUGAAUCAGCUUGCCGGUUUUUGGUGGGCAUCACAGGUGUGAUAACUAUCUACGCUUGUGGUUUUCCACCAGGGUAACCUUCAGCAGUGGAGGUUCACUGGGGCUUACAAAUGUCUCUCCUCUGUGAGGACAGCCCUUUGAAUGUUUGAUCUCAAAUCAGGUAGGACUACCCGCUGAACUUAAGCAUAUCAAUAAGCGGAGGA